This 161-nucleotide ribosomal RNA is filed under the name uncultured bacterium. RNAcentral describes it as "partial 16S rRNA". It matches the Rfam family "Bacterial small subunit ribosomal RNA", at positions 358 to 511 of the family's 1533-position model. The record is from RNAcentral.
GGAAUCUUCGGCAAUGGACGAAAGUCUGACCGAGCAACGCCGCGUGAGUGAAGAAGGUUUUCGGAUCGUAAAACUCUGUUGUUAGAGAAGAACAAGGAUGAGAGUAACUGUUCAUCCCUUGACGGUAUCUAACCAGAAAGCCACGGCUAACUACGUGCUAG